GGUGGUUUAGUGGUAAAGCGCUUGCCUUGCAGGCAUGAAGCCCUGGGUUCAAUUCCUCAGUACCA
Molecule: non-coding RNA, 65 nt
Organism: Dipodomys ordii (Ord's kangaroo rat)
Lineage: Eukaryota; Metazoa; Chordata; Mammalia; Rodentia; Heteromyidae
Source: Rfam